GGUCAUGCUUUUCCACAGCUUUCUUGAACUUCUUAUGCCUCCACCUCCCGGAUUCUAAGCCCUAGAAGCUCAAGAAAGCUGUGGGAGAAUAUGGCAA
Molecule: non-coding RNA, 97 nt
Organism: Cajanus cajan (pigeon pea)
Lineage: Eukaryota; Viridiplantae; Streptophyta; Magnoliopsida; Fabales; Fabaceae
Source: Rfam